GAAGCUGGACACUUAACCGACUGAGCCACCAGCUAAACUGGGCAUUGCAAGCCAGAAGUGGGAGACAGAAAGAAAACAAGAAGAGACUCACACAAAACUUAGGCGGUCAGGAUCUCUGAACUCCAAAUGCUGCUGAUUCACAGUGUCUCCUCUGACUAUGACCCUGACUUAUCUUUGCAAAAUUUGAAAUUCAUUUUCUCCAGAAUGAACACCCUUGGAUCUAAAGGCCUUCAUGCCAGAAAUGAAGAAGGAGCUGCAUGUUCAGAACAAGACAGACUUGCUGGGCCCGACCCACCUACUUCAGCCUUCUCAUUCAUGGUGAACCUCUACACUCUUCAUUCUUGUCUCCAGUCCCAAGAAAUGCCGGACAUCUUUUACCUUCAGCAGAUGCUAAACUCUAUCUGGCUCUGUCUAUCUUCUUUUAGGACUAAUUCCCUGAAACUCUUUCAUAAUUCAUUUGAGGACUUAGCUCACUCAUCAGUAAAAGCUCCUUUAUACUCA
Molecule: long non-coding RNA, 501 nt
Organism: Hyaena hyaena (striped hyena)
Lineage: Eukaryota; Metazoa; Chordata; Mammalia; Carnivora; Hyaenidae
Exons: 4
Source: RefSeq, a predicted model, not a curated record